GUCACUCCAGAAGCCACUGAGACCGUCACUCCAGAAGCCACUGAGACCACUGUCACUCCAGAAGACACUGAGACCACAGGCUCAUCAAAAGCCACAAGACCCCGGGGCCAGAAGGCAAAAAAAAGACAAAAUCCAGUCCAACAGAGGGUAGCCAGCAAGAUGAAGCCAAAAAAAAAGUAUGAGUGUCCAGAAUGCUGUUGGAGAGUGAGGCAAAACAACUUUGACUACUCCAAGGUUUUGAAAAGAAGAGUGAGAGAGGGAACAGAGGAGGUCCUCAUUUGUUGGGUUCCAUGCAAGACCUGUGGGACCAAAUGGAAAGACUCCUGGGAGCCCUCCUCCCUUCUUGAAUAAUGAAUUAAACAUUUUUAAAAAUUUUGUAUUUUCUUUUAUAAUGAAUAAAAUAACUACAAACAUAAACAAAGUUAUUGGCUUGUUAUUCAUUGUCUAAAUUGCAUAUGCUAUAUAGAGUACAUACAGAUCUUUAGAAAUAACCUAAUUAAAAAUCCUCUGUUAAUUGUCAGUUUUGUAUGAAUACUGUUAUAUCUACUUCUGUACGUCUGUUAUGUUCUCACCUGUGUUUGUCUGUGUAUGUAGUUAUAUAUGUACUGUCUAUAUAUUGGUUGUAAGCAGGAUUUCUUGUAACUUGGUGGAUGGGUAGGACAUGGUCCAGGAAGAAAGCUAUUAUAUUUUGUGGCAGUUUAAAUUUUAGAUUAAUUAAAUUUGAUGUAGUUGGAGACAUUUGCUCUACUUUAUGCCCUUAAUGUUCAGGUUUGUGUCCUUCUGUCCAGAUGACAUUGAGCGGAGAACAUCAUGAUGGUGCUGGUUCCACCCCAGGGCAGGAAGUAGAACAGUAGUUGGCAUGCCGUGUAGAUGUACUAUCGUUAUCUGCCUCUGUAUUUAGAUAGAAGACCAGUAGUAGUUGUAUCUUUUGAUCUAUUAUUCAUUGGCAAUGCAAUAAUUAUCCAUUCAAAGCAUCAAAUUGAUUUAAUAUUGGCAUAUAACUAUAAAUAGAUUUAAAUACAUAGAAAGAGAACUGUUUCAAUUUCCAAGAAACAAAUGUUACUUGUUUUAUACAAGCUGAACAGGACUGAACAAAAUAACCUGUAUUAUGAAUAUCAGGUGGUCAGAGAACAAAUAUAAAAUAAUGGUUCAUACACUAAUAAUAAUUAUCUUGUCUUUUUAGACUUCUAAAGCUAUACAGAUCCACUUUGGGAACUGGAAACCCUUAAAGCUCACCUUCACCUGGAAAUGAGAGAAUGGGUAUAUGGUCUCGGUGACUUGACAGAGGAUGCUACCUAUGGGCUCAACAGUCUCAUCAAUCGGAGGUCACUCAGAAGUCAACACAGACAGGCUGUAAAUGCAUACAGCAGUAUAGGCGCUUUCGAUAACAUUGAGGACAGGACCGGUGCACUGAAGAUGUGUACUAAAUAAACCUGCCUUGCUUUUAUGUCAAAAAGCC
This is a long non-coding RNA of Carassius carassius (crucian carp), 1459 nucleotides long. RefSeq lists it as uncharacterized. The record is from RefSeq and is a predicted model, not a curated record. Lineage: Eukaryota; Metazoa; Chordata; Actinopteri; Cypriniformes; Cyprinidae. The transcript is spliced from 7 exons.